UUAGAUGACCAGUCUUGAAGAGAUUUUGA
Molecule: non-coding RNA, 29 nt
Filed under: Homo sapiens (human)
Lineage: Eukaryota; Metazoa; Chordata; Mammalia; Primates; Hominidae
Source: RNAcentral